CCCUUAGAGUUUGAUCCUGGCUCAGGAUGAACGCUAGCUACAGGCUUAACACAUGCAAGUCGAGGGGCAGCGGUAUCGAAAGCUUGCUUUCGGUAGCCGGCGACCGGCGCACGGGUGAGUAACGCGUAUCGAACCUGCCUCAUACUCGGGAAUAGCCUUGCGAAAGUAAGAUUAAUGCCCGGUGUUUUCAGAGUCCCGCAUGAGGCUUUGAACAAAGAUUUAUCGGUAUGAGAUGGCGAUGCGUCCCAUUAGCUUGUUGGCGGGGUAACGGCCCACCAAGGCAUCGAUGGGUAGGGGUUCUGAGAGGAAGGUCCCCCACAUUGGAACUGAGACACGGUCCAAACUCCUACGGGAGGCAGCAGUGAGGAAUAUUGGUCAAUGGGCGGAAGCCUGAACCAGCCAAGUAGCGUGCAGGAAGACGGCCCUCCGGGUUGUAAACUGCUUUUAGUUGGGAAUAAAACGGGGCUCGUGAGCCCCCUUGCAUGUACCAUCAGAAAAAGGACCGGCUAAUUCCGUGCCAGCAGCCGCGGUAAUACGGAAGGUUCGGGCGUUAUCCGGAUUUAUUGGGUUUAAAGGGAGCGCAGGCGGACCUUUAAGUCAGCUGUGAAAUACGGCGGCUCAACCGUCGAACUGCAGUUGAUACUGGAGGUCUUGAGUGCACACAGGGAUGCUGGAAUUCAUGGUGUAGCGGUGAAAUGCUCAGAUAUCAUGAAGAACUCCGAUCGCGAAGGCAGGCAUCCGGGGUGCAACUGACGUUGAGGCUAGAAAGUGCGGGUAUCAAACAGGAUUAGAUACCCUGGUAGUCCGCACAGUAAACGAUGAAUACUCGCGGUUUGCGAUACAGUGUAAGCCGCCAAGCGAAAGCGUUAAGUAUUCCACCUGGGGAGUACGCCGGCAACGGUGA
This 904-nucleotide ribosomal RNA is filed under the name uncultured bacterium. RNAcentral describes it as "bacterial SSU rRNA". It matches the Rfam family "Bacterial small subunit ribosomal RNA", at positions 1 to 897 of the family's 1533-position model. The record is from RNAcentral.